AACGAACGCUGGCGGCAUGCCUAACACAUGCAAGUCGAACGAGACCUUCGGGUCUAGUGGCGCACGGGUGCGUAACGCGUGGGAACCUGCCCUUAGGUUCGGAAUAACUCCCCGAAAGGGGUGCUAAUACCGGAUAAUGUCUUCGGACCAAAGAUUUAUCGCCUUUGGAUGGGCCCGCGUUGGAUUAGCUAGUUGGUAGGGUAAAAGCCUACCAAGGCGACGAUCCAUAGCUGGUCUGAGAGGAUGAUCAGCCACACUGGGACUGAGACACGGCCCAGACUCCUACGGGAGGCAGCAGUGGGGAAUAUUGGACAAUGGGCGAAAGCCUGAUCCAGCAAUGCCGCGUGAGUGAUGAAGGCCUGAGGGUUGUAAAGCUCUUGUACCCGGGAUGAUAAUGACAGUACCGGGAGAAUAAGCUCCGGCUAACUCCGUG
RNAcentral lists this ribosomal RNA (433 nucleotides) under uncultured bacterium. Its description in RNAcentral is "partial 16S ribosomal RNA". It matches the Rfam family "Bacterial small subunit ribosomal RNA", at positions 29 to 507 of the family's 1533-position model. The record is from RNAcentral.